CCAGACUCCUACGGGAGGCAGCAGUGAGGAAUAUUGGUCAAUGGGCGCGAGCCUGAACCAGCCAAGUCGCGUGAGGGAAGACGGUCCUAUGGAUUGUAAACCUCUUUUGUCGGGGAGCAAAAGACGCCACGCGUGGCGUUCCGAGAGUACCCGAAGAAAAAGCAUCGGCUAACUCCGUGCCAGCAGCCGCGGUAAUACGUAGGGGGCAAGCGUUAUCCGGAUUUACUGGGUGUAAAGGGAGCGUAGACGGCGUGUCAAGUCUGAUGUGAAAGGCCGGGGCUCAACCCCGGGACUGCAUUGGAAACUGGCAUGCUGGAGUGCCGGAGGGGCAAGCGGAAUUCCUAGUGUAGCGGUGAAAUGCGUAGAUAUUAGGAGGAACACCGGUGGCGAAGGCGGCUUGCUGGACGGUAACUGACGUUGAGGCUCGAAAGCGUGGGGAGCAAACAGGAUUAGAUACCCCAGUAU
This 465-nucleotide ribosomal RNA is filed under the name uncultured bacterium. RNAcentral's name for it is "bacterial SSU rRNA". It matches the Rfam family "Bacterial small subunit ribosomal RNA", at positions 331 to 793 of the family's 1533-position model. The record is from RNAcentral.